AUCCAGCUGACGAGUACCAUGAUGGGACGAAACGCACGUCCUAGAU
Molecule: non-coding RNA, 46 nt
Organism: Schistosoma curassoni
Lineage: Eukaryota; Metazoa; Platyhelminthes; Trematoda; Strigeidida; Schistosomatidae
Source: Rfam